Molecule: ribosomal RNA, 500 nt
Filed under: uncultured bacterium
Lineage: Bacteria
Description: bacterial SSU rRNA
Rfam family: Bacterial small subunit ribosomal RNA
Source: RNAcentral
GAUGAACGCUAGCGACAGGCUUAACACAUGCAAGUCGAGGGGCAGCAUAAAAGUAGCAAUACUUUGGUGGCGACCGGCGCACGGGUGAGUAACGCGUAUGCAACCUACCUAUCAGAGGGGGAUAACCCGGCGAAAGUCGGACUAAUACCGCAUAAAACAGGGGCACCGCAUGGUGAUAUUUGUUAAAAAUUUAUUGCUGAUAGAUGGGCAUGCGUUCCAUUAGGUAGUUGGAGAGGUAACGGCUCACCAAGCCAACGAUGGAUAGGGGAACUGAGAGGUUGGUCCCCCACACUGGUACUGAGACACGGACCAGACUCCUACGGGAGGCAGCAGUGAGGAAUAUUGGUCAAUGGGCGAGAGCCUGAACCAGCCAAGUCGCGUGAAGGAAGAAGGAUCUAUGGUUCGUAAACUUCUUUUGCAGGGGAAUAAAGUGCAGGACGUGUCCUGUUUUGUAUGUACCCUGAGAAUAAGGAUCGGCUAACUCCGUGCCAGCAGCCGAC